CAGCAGCCGCGGUAAUACAGAGGGUGCGAGCGUUAAUCGGAUUUACUGGGCGUAAAGCGUGCGUAGGCGGCUUUUUAAGUCGGAUGUGAAAUCCCUGAGCUUAACUUAGGAAUUGCAUUCGAUACUGGGAAGCUAGAGUAUGGGAGAGGAUGGUAGAAUUCCAGGUGUAGCGGUGAAAUGCGUAGAGAUCUGGAGGAAUACCGAUGGCGAAGGCAGCCAUCUGGCCUAAUACUGACGCUGAUGGACGAAAGCGUGGGGAGCGAACAGGAUUAGAUACCCGAGUAGUCCCUGUCUCUUAUAC
RNAcentral lists this ribosomal RNA (301 nucleotides) under uncultured bacterium. RNAcentral's name for it is "partial 16S ribosomal RNA". It matches the Rfam family "Bacterial small subunit ribosomal RNA", at positions 509 to 807 of the family's 1533-position model. The record is from RNAcentral.